Molecule: unclassified non-coding RNA, 2084 nt
Filed under: Penaeus monodon (black tiger shrimp)
Lineage: Eukaryota; Metazoa; Arthropoda; Malacostraca; Decapoda; Penaeidae
Description: blastula protease 10-like, transcript variant X1
Source: RNAcentral
GUGACAGGAGCAUUUCCGAGAGGAGUCUGCAGAAAUUUAUUUGAGAUUAUAAAGUUUAUUUUAAUUGUGUUUUAAAAUCAGACAUCACAAUGGCAAACGAAUUAAUAUGGAUUCACCGCACAGUGAGAAUGAUGUUCCUCUGCUCGUUUUUGCACUUCGCCUCGCUCUUCGGCCACGACCUCCUCGACACGGACGCCGACCCCCACUCCCCGAACGACUUGCUGAACGACUACGUCCGUCACUCUUACACGUACGACCAGGAAGAGUACGACGACCUGGGAUUCCCCCUCGACGACCGCCGAGAGAAGGACGAGGACGACGAGGACGAGGACGUGUCCCCGGUCGAGUUCGUGUACGACCGGAGGUUCCCGUCCAGGUUCCUGCCGAUCGACCGGCGGGUACACCAGCUAUGAACACACAGGGCCGCUUCGACCUCCUCAACCCAGUUCUCGGGCCGGAAGGAGCCCCCUUUGUCGAAGGAGACAUGGUUUUCUCAGAAGAAGAGGGGGCGGCGGCGGCGGAGGAGGACGGAGGGCGGAAGCUCCCGUCGGAGGAGGAGCUGCUGUGGCCGCCGCACCCGGGAACAGGCUUUCCCUUCGUCCCGUUCGUCGUUCACAGCUCGGCCGAGAAAAUCAGGCCUUUCCUCGAGAAGGCCAUCCGCUCGUGGGAGAAGCGCACCUGCAUCACCUUCAAGGAACUACCCUCCGAAAUCGAACACAACUUCUUAGGAACGCAGAAGCGCCACCUUGGGCCAUACCUUGAGUUCGUGCGGAGUUCCGGCUGCUGGAGCUACGUCGGGAGGCAGUACCGGCGGUGGGGGGGACAGAAACUCUCGAUCGGGCGGGGUUGCACGAAGCUCGGCACAGUAUUGCAUGAAAUCGGCCAUGCACUCGGCCUCCUGCAUGAACAAUCGCGGAGUGACCGAGACGAGCAUGUGAAGAUCUUGUGGAAAAACGUCAUGCACGGGAAGCAGAAGAACUUUCGUGUGUGGAAAGACAGUCGAUUUGAUGAAGUGCCUUACGACUACUCUUCCGUCAUGCACUAUGGGAGUUAUUUUUUCGGCCAAGGCGGCCGGCCGACCCUUCUCCCCAGGAACCCUUUCCACCAGCACCUCCUUGGCCAGAGGGAUGGCUUUUCCUUCAGGGACAUCGCGGUGGCCAACUCCGUCUACGGCUGCAUUAAGCGAUGGGAAGCCUCCUGCGGCGCCUCGACCCCGAAGUGCGAGAACGGAGGCUACGUGUUCAGGGACUGCCGCUGCCUGUGCCCGCCCGGAACAGCCGGGCCUUCGUGCGCUGCUGUGACCGGGGACUACUAUCCACAGCUGAAGUGUGGCGGUAACGUGACGUCGUCCCAAAUCAUCUCGUCGCCAAGAUAUCCGCAGCCCUUUCCUGCGAAUUGUACUGCGGCGCCGACCUGUCCCCCGGCCAAGAGCUCGUCUCCGAAGGCCGGGACAUGUUCAUCGUCUUCCGCGGGAGGUAUGGCUUCGUGAGCGGGUUUUCGGCUCGGCUGGACUUCGUCGAGGGUGAGAGGGCGGGGAGCGAAGGAGGCGAGGAAUCAGCAGGGGUUAUGGGAGAUGAAGCGGAAAGUGGGCCGACAGGAGAAGGAAGAGGCACUGAUGGCGGAAAUUCGCUGUUUAAUUAGUGACAUCGAAAUUCGACGAAAAUAUUUUUCCCGUCGAUGUUAAACAGAAUCCUUGAAAUGCUGAAACUUGGUAUUUGCUUUGGCAAGAAGAAUGAUAAAGAUUAUGGUGAUUAAUCGUGAUGGCUUGAAAUUACAAAAUUAUUGCAAAUAAAAGCUUAUAUUAAGUAUUAAUUAACUGUUUUUCCAUGUGCAAAGUCACACUAAUGGUAUAUGUCCCUUCAUCUGCAUCCUUCCGAACUUCAACUGUGUAACUGUGGCAAAUGGUGUCCUUCAAACUAUACUGCUAUGCACAUUUAUACAAACUUUUUCGGGUUAAGGAUAUUCGUUUUUCAAUUUCUCUCAAAUCAACGUGUCUAAUGUGUUAUCUUAUUACAUCUUUGGUCAAACAUUGUAUAAUCUCUCUAAUGUUUACUUAAUACUGACUUUUUUUUGUGUGUGUGUUA